Molecule: ribosomal RNA, 705 nt
Filed under: Proteus mirabilis
Lineage: Bacteria; Pseudomonadati; Pseudomonadota; Gammaproteobacteria; Enterobacterales; Morganellaceae
Description: partial 23S ribosomal RNA
Rfam family: Bacterial large subunit ribosomal RNA
Source: RNAcentral
AAGAACCCCGGCGAGGGGAGUGAAAAAGAACCUGAAACCGUGUACGUACAAGCAGUAGGAGCCUCUUAAUGGGGUGACUGCGUACCUUUUGUAUAAUGGGUCAGCGACUUAUAUUCUGUAGCAAGGUUAACCGUAUAGGGGAGCCGUAGGGAAACCGAGUCUUAACUGGGCGAAUGAGUUGCAGGGUAUAGACCCGAAACCCGGUGAUCUAUCCAUGGGCAGGUUGAAGGUUGGGUAACACUAACUGGAGGACCGAACCGACUAAUGUUGAAAAAUUAGCGGAUGACUUGUGGAUGGGGGUGAAAGGCCAAUCAAACCGGGAGAUAGCUGGUUCUCCCCGAAAGCUAUUUAGGUAGCGCCUCGUGAAUUCAUCUUCGGGGGUAGAGCACUGUUUCGACUAGGGGGUCAUCCCGACUUACCAACUCGAUGCAAACUGCGAAUACCGAAGAAUGUUAUCACGGGAGACACACGGCGGGUGCUAACGUCCGUCGUGAAGAGGGAAACAACCCAGACCGCCAGCUAAGGUCCCAAAGUCAUGGUUAAGUGGGAAACGAAGUGGGAAGGCUCAGACAGCCAGGAUGUUGGCUUAGAAGCAGCCAUCAUUUAAAGAAAGCGUAAUAGCUCACUGGUCGAGUCGGCCCGCGCGGAAGAUGUAACGGGGCUAAACCAUGCACCGAAGCUGCGGCAGCGCACGUAUCGCUUAAA